GUCUACAACCAUGCUACCCUGAACAAGCCCGAUCCCGUCUGAUCUCAGAAGCUAAGCAGGGUUGGGCCUGGGAGACCACCUAGAAAGAACAGGAGCUAUAGGCA
RNAcentral lists this ribosomal RNA (104 nucleotides) under Pteropus alecto (black flying fox). Lineage: Eukaryota; Metazoa; Chordata; Mammalia; Chiroptera; Pteropodidae. The record is from RNAcentral.